CUGUAGCUCAGUUGGUUAGAGCGCACCCCUGAUAAGGGUGAGGUCGCAGUUCGAAUCUGCCCAG
RNAcentral lists this transfer RNA (64 nucleotides) under Pseudomonas sp. ATCC 13867. RNAcentral's name for it is "tRNA-Ile". It matches the Rfam family "tRNA", at positions 7 to 64 of the family's 71-position model. From Rfam's summary of the family: Transfer RNA (tRNA) molecules are approximately 80 nucleotides in length. Their secondary structure includes four short double-helical elements and three loops (D, anti-codon, and T loops). Further hydrogen bonds mediate the characteristic L-shaped molecular structure. tRNAs have two regions of fundamental functional importance: the anti-codon, which is responsible for specific mRNA codon recognition, and the 3' end, to which the tRNAs corresponding amino acid is attached (by aminoacyl-tRNA synthetases). tRNAs cope with the degeneracy of the genetic code in two manners: having more than one tRNA (with a specific anti-codon) for a particular amino acid; and 'wobble' base-pairing, i.e. permitting non-standard base-pairing at the 3rd anti-codon position. The record is from RNAcentral. Lineage: Bacteria; Pseudomonadati; Pseudomonadota; Gammaproteobacteria; Pseudomonadales; Pseudomonadaceae.